GACAAAGGAUGCAAGCGUUAUCCGGAAUGAUUGGGCGUAAAGCGUAUGUAGGUGGCUUUUUAAGUCCGCCGUCAAAUCCCAGGGCUCAACCCUGGACAGGCGGUGGAAAGUACCAAGCUGGAGUACGGUAGGGGCAGAGGGAAUUUCCGGUGGAGCGGUAAAAUGCGUAGAGAUCGGAAAGAACACCAACAGCGAAAGCACUCUGCUGGGCCGACACUGACACUGAGAGACGAAAGCUAGGGGAGUGAAUAGG
Molecule: ribosomal RNA, 253 nt
Filed under: uncultured bacterium
Lineage: Bacteria
Description: partial 16S ribosomal RNA
Rfam family: Bacterial small subunit ribosomal RNA
Source: RNAcentral